AGAGUUUGAUCCUGGCUCAGAUUGAACGCUGGCGGCGUGCUUAACACAUGCAAGUCGUGCGAGAAAGGGGACUUCGGUCCCUGAGUAGAGCGGCGCACGGGUGAGUAACGCGUGGAUAAUCUCCCCAGAAGUUCGGGAUAACGGCGGGAAACUGCCGCUAAUACCGGAUACGCUCCAAUUUCGGUUGGGGGAAAGGCGGCCUCUGUUUACAAGCUGUCGCUUCUGGAUGAGUCCGCGUCCCAUUAGCUUGUUGGUGGGGUAAUGGCCUACCAAGGCUACGAUGGGUAGCUGGUCUGAGAGGAUGAUCAGCCACACUGGAACUGAAACACGGUCCAGACUCCUACGGGAGGCAGCAGUGGGGAAUAUUGCGCAAUGGGGGAAACCCUG
RNAcentral lists this ribosomal RNA (387 nucleotides) under uncultured bacterium. RNAcentral's name for it is "bacterial SSU rRNA". It matches the Rfam family "Bacterial small subunit ribosomal RNA", at positions 8 to 385 of the family's 1533-position model. The record is from RNAcentral.